AAUGAACGUUGGCGGCGUGGAUUAGGCAUGCAAGUCGUGCGAGAAGCUCCAGCUUGCUAGAGUGGACAGCGGCGAAAGGGAGAGUAAUACGUAGAAAUCUGCCCUCAGGACCGGGAUAGCGUUGGGAAACUGGCGGUAAUACCGGAUAACGUCUUCGGACCAAAAGUGUGAUUCUGCCUGAGGAUGAGUCUACGACCUAUUAGCUAGUUGGCGGGGUAAUGGCCCACCAAGGCGACGAUGGGUAGCGGGUGUGAGAGCAUGGCCCGCCUCACUGGGACUGAGACACUGCCCAGACAUCUACGGAUGGCUGCAGUCGAGAAUCUUUGUCAAUGGACGAAAGUCUGAACAAGCGACGCCGCGUGCGGGAUGAAGGCCCUCGGGUUGUAAACCGCUGUCGUAAGGGAGCAAAUCUAUUGGGGUUCUCCCCUUUAGUUGAGCAAUCUUAGGAGGAAGGACGGGCUAAGUUCGUG
This 470-nucleotide ribosomal RNA is filed under the name uncultured bacterium. Its description in RNAcentral is "bacterial SSU rRNA". It matches the Rfam family "Bacterial small subunit ribosomal RNA", at positions 29 to 507 of the family's 1533-position model. The record is from RNAcentral.